Molecule: non-coding RNA, 215 nt
Organism: Pelobates cultripes (western spadefoot toad)
Lineage: Eukaryota; Metazoa; Chordata; Amphibia; Anura; Pelobatidae
Source: the annotation of a GenBank genome assembly
GAACUGGCAGCAGCUGAAAUAGCCUGCCCUUCGGUGGGUCCCCGCUCAGAUCUCAAGCUGGUUUUAGCUCAUCUUGUGCCAUUACAGAGAGAACAUCUCUGAAACAUAUCAGACUGGUCCCACCCAUACGGGCAGUCCAGAUCCGAAAUGCCAGCAAGUUCCCUCUGCACAAGAGACAUAGCAACCCCAGACGAUCGUUUCAGCCUUGUUAGGCA